UGAAAACUUUCCAUCGUUUAGUAGAUAAAGAAAAUAAAGUAUAUAUACGUUGCACCACCCCAAAGAAAGAUUUAGCUUUUGAACAACAAGUGGUCAUAUCACAAAGUACAAGAUUAAGACUAUAACAUCCACAAGGAAUGUAGAAUGCUCUAGGAUUUAGUUGUAAUAGUCUACUUUGAACUCCUUUAUGUUGUCCUUUCAUGUUAGCACUAUUAUCAUAGCCUUGACCCCUUACAUUAUCAAUAUCAAGUUCUAGAUUAUUCAAAGCAUCCACCAAUUCCUCAAAAAGCCCCUUACCUGAUGUAUCAUCCACUAAUAAAAACCCUAAAAAGAAUUCUUCAACCUUCACUGGACUUGUCGAAAUAUCUACACACCUCAAUAUCAUUGACAUUUGUUCUUUGUGACUUGUAUCUGGAGUGCAAUCAAGUAUAACAGAAAAGUAUUUAGAGAUUUUGAGUUUCUCAAUGAUUAUUUUUUUUAUCUCGCCCGCUAGCAUAAGUAUCAACUCAUUCUGAAUUUUGUGUCCUAGAUAAUGAUAAUGAAUCUCUUUACUUUUUAUUCGACGAAUAUGCUCUUGCAUUACGGGGUCAAACUCAGCAAUCAUUUGAAUCAUGCUUAAAAAGAUACCAUUAUUUCUUGAUAUAUCUUCUCAUUGUCCCUACGAAAUGCUAAAUUAUUCUCAGCAAGAGUUUUCACCACAGAUAUUAUUCUCAAUAAUACUUGUCUCCAAUGUUCUCUAUCUCUAUUGAUUUGUUCUUGCACACUUUUAUCAAUUGUUUUACUCUUUUCAAAUCCUAAUUCCAUUUAUUCAUGUUAUUGAUGUGGUCACAACAUGCUUCAUGCAUUUUAAGUUUUUCACCAACAUUUUUCCAAUCAUUUACUCCAUCAUGUGCCAAUUGGGUUCUGAUCCCAUCAUUCUUAAAUAGCUUACAACAAAAGCAAAAUACUUUAUCCAAACUUUUUGAAUAUAUCAACCAUUUUCUAUCAUACUUCUCUCCAUUAGGUAAUCGUCGAAC
Molecule: long non-coding RNA, 1016 nt
Filed under: Olea europaea subsp. europaea
Lineage: Eukaryota; Viridiplantae; Streptophyta; Magnoliopsida; Lamiales; Oleaceae
Source: RNAcentral